RNAcentral lists this long non-coding RNA (3128 nucleotides) under Homo sapiens (human). RNAcentral's name for it is "HSALNT0043349". The record is from RNAcentral. Lineage: Eukaryota; Metazoa; Chordata; Mammalia; Primates; Hominidae.
CUUCCUUCAGAGAUAUUUAUUGUAACGAUACAAGGAGGAAUUUGAUCUGAAAAAGUCACCUGUUUGUUUACUUUCAAAUUAGUAAUCAGUUAUUAUCGCUUCUCCAUAAUUUUAACCGUUCAGUGUUAUUUACCCCCCACCCUUCCCAGACGCUGGAGUGUAUAGAAAUAUGUAUGAGGUAAAUACAUACAGACAUGCCUCCCCCAUAUAUUGUUGAUGUAAAUAUAGACUGUGUGUUUGCAUCUCCAGUUAAGGAAAGGGUUUCAGAAUGUCCGUGGGGACACGUCCCUCCAGGGCCGGCUGUCGAGGACCCGGAAAACCACAGCCCCUAAGAGUUCCAGAUUUUCCAAGACCCUUAUACUCUCUUCCUGUAGAAUUUCAUACUGGGGGUUUUGCAUUGUUUUGCAGGCAUGUAACCAUUUCUGGGUGAUUCAUUUAUCUAUAAAGGAAAUGCAAAGUGGCAGGGUGUCUGCCCCAGUCCGCAUUCUGCUUGCAGAUUGCUGACGAAAGUUGAUAUCUUCAUGUUUGUCCCAGGAGCUUCAUAAAGCGCCCUCUUCACCUGUGGAGCCCGAGCGACCAGAAAAAUUCGCUCGCUUUCCUAACUGCUGAAGGCGAGUCCGGCCCGCGCGGGGGACUGCGCCCGAGGCCCGGCAAGCUUAGGCGGGGACUAGCAGGGCCCUCGGCGGGCGGGCCCCCAGCGAAAAGGCCUGAGAAUUGCUUCUGGGGGGUGGCUUGGGCCAACGGGGGCGAGGGAGCCGCGCAGAGGGCAGGCCCCGACCCUUCCCCGCCGCACCUUGUGGGUCGGGUGUUGGGCGGCCUCCUGGCGCGGGAGGCGCAUCUGCUAGGAAGGGUGUGCGCUCCCCCCUUCUCGGCCUCCCCAUUUCGGUUUGGGGUGUUUUCGCAAGGUUGCCAGACGGUGCAUCCAGAAGGAAACCACCAGAGCACGCAGGGGGGCGUCGCCUCAGGAUGGGAAGGGGCGACCUCAGCCAGGAUUCAUCCCAUCACCCUACUCCACCCCCAUUCCGGCUUCCUUUAGGUUUAGGGCGACGUCCUCCUGGGAAGCCCUGCUCUGUCAACCCAGGAGCCCUCGGACCUCCACUUCUGUCCACCCCCUCGCGAAGCCCUUCAAGCCCAAGGGACUGGAGAAAGGCGGCUCCGGGGCAGCUCGGGCCGGAGGGUGCGUUUCUUUUCAUUCCAGGCAGCUCUCCGCGUUCGUCCCGCACAUCUUCGUCAUUACUGCUACAUUCUGGGCAUUCUGGGGGUGAUAAGUGUGGCGUGAAGGGAGGAGAAAGGGGAAGGUGCUGUGGAGUUACCUCUUCCUUUUCCAUUAGCAGGAACCGGGUUUUAGGAGCCUCGAUCAGAAAACCUAAAUAAGAUUUUUAAAUAUCCUUCAGCUGCUGAAGCUAAAAAUGCUACUUUCUUCCUGGUCUUACGUCCGGAGUGUGGAGUUGCGGCCCUCCAGAGCUACCUCCACCAGCGUCUUGGCCCAGUGGUCAUUAGGUAAGGAGAAGAGUGAAAUGGCUCAGGUGGAUUUUGAACUCUGAGCUUCAAUGCCAAAGCAUACGAAAUGUUCAGUGAUUAAAACUGGGAAACGCCUGCUCCCAGCAGCGUGGAAUGAUUUGAUUCACUAUCAGCAAGCAGUCUCAUGGAAGAACAGCAAGAAAGGUCUCUUCAAGCCUUUCAGAUGAAAAGCUUUCUUAAGAUUACAGCCCUAUGGUUCAAAACAAGAUCUCCGCUUCACAAUGCAAGGUAAGCAGACCUGCCACUAUGCUGCAGAAACCUCUGCCCAUUUUGGCCUUUAUUAAAAUAAAUUAUGACUAAUUUACCACAGAGACGUUCAGAUAAACAAGUUCUAACCUAGCAACUUGGUAUUUCCUGAUUAUUUAUAAAUCGACAGCACCUCCUACAGGAAUUAAUUUGUUAGUGUUAUGUUAAAUGUUAGGUUAGGGGAAAAGUCCCUGCGAAGGCAGAGGGAGAAAUGCCUCCAAAAUGUGUCCUAUGCCUCGUGCAGUUCCAGGCUCAUGGAUAAAUAAGAAACUUGUAAGUGUGCCAAGAUUUUAAAGGAACUUCUCUAUUAAGGGUAAGAAUGACAAAUUUCACCAGGCUGGUUUUCUAAAAAAUAUCCCCGUUGAGGACUUUUGUUUGGGUUCUUAAGUCGUAGAUUUAUUAAACGUGGAGGAUUCUUCUUAGGCUUUAGGUACGUAGAGGAAUCUCUACACGUACUAGACAUCCCUUUUAUUAUGAGGUUCAUCUUAUGAGGUUCAUCUCCUUGGUCUCUACCUUAUAUUUCAAAACAAAAGUAGAAUUACAUGUCCAAUAUUUUUAUUUUAAAAAAUUAUUUUCCAUCAUUAGGGUAUGUGGAACACAUUAACUGAGCCUCUUUAAAGCUAUUUGUUAUCAUGGUAUGAUUUUGUGUGAAAAUGCCUCUCUUCCGUUUUUAAGUUUACAGUUAGAAUGGUAGUUCGUUAGGGCUUUUGAGCACCCUUGGGUGACCAAGGCUGAAAGCCAAACAAAAUGAACAUCUUCCAUAACUACAUGGAAAUUUUUUCUCAGAAUUAGAUGGUUAAAAAUAUUGGAGAUUUUGGCAGUACUUUAUAGUUUCUCAAUCCUAACAAUAAGGAUAAUUAAAUCAGAGACUAAAAAAAAUCUCAUGGCCACUUUAUAAAAAGUGGACCACAUUGGCCAGGCAUGGUGGUUCACGCCUAUAAUCCCAGCACUUUGGGAGGUUGAGGCAGGCAGAUUGCUUGAAUUCAGGAGUUCAAGACCAGCCUGAGCAACAUAGCAAGAUCUCAUCUGCAUUAAAAAAGUGGACCACGGUUUGUGAGUCAAAUGAAAAAAGUGUAAGAAAUAACGUUUUAAAUUCAUUUUUAAUUUUAGGAUGCAUUUCAGCAUUUCUCUUCAUGAACACUGUAUUGCUUCAGAAACCCUUUAAGGUAGUAAGUAUUGCAUAGGUUUUGACAUUAUAAAAAUUAUAAAGUCUAAAAAGGCAUAAGGUAGAAAAUAAUCACUGCAACACUGAUGAACUCAAGGUGUAAAUUAGCAGUGUUUACCAAUUUCAAAUGCAUGCUUUUUUUUAAGUGAAGAAGGGAUCUUUGAGGUGCGCUGUAAGUUAUUUAACAAUACUGUGG